This 18289-nucleotide long non-coding RNA is filed under the name Gossypium barbadense (sea-island cotton). RNAcentral's name for it is "long non-coding RNA (GBAR_LNC012950)". Lineage: Eukaryota; Viridiplantae; Streptophyta; Magnoliopsida; Malvales; Malvaceae. The record is from RNAcentral.
UUUUUUUUUUUUUUAUGAUUGGAAGGUAGUAAUCUUGAACUCCAAAACAAAGCAGCACUUCAUUUUACAAGAAGACGUUGAAUAAAUGUUAAUUAUCAAAAUUAUUCCACGUGUUGAUUUUAGAUUGGUGGUGCACAAACUAGGGACAGUCGAUUUUUAUCCUUCUAAAACCCAAAUGAAACGACAAAACCAUAUUACUAAAUGUUGACUUUGCCCGUAAAUUACAUAAUUCAAUUAAAAGAAAUUUUCAAAAUUUAAUUUAAUAUUAAAUUUUUUUUUUGUCUCAAAAAAAUAUUAAUAUUAAAUUUUAUAUCACGAAUCUAGUCUAGUGACUCAAUUCAUUAGUUUAACAUUAUUAUUAAUUUUAAAAUGUAUCUGACUUUUUUUGCAUAAAUAAUUUUGUAUUUAUUAUAUAUUGAAAAAUAUUUUCCACCGUAAAUCUAUUCUCCUAUAAUUAAUUUGAAUGCCCUGAAACAUGCCUGCCCAUUUGCUUUUUUUUUUUUAAAGAAUAGUUCACAAAUUUAAGUUUUAAUUUUUUUUUAUUUUUACAAUUUCAUUAUUUUAAUUUAAAUAAUUAAUAUUUUGAUUAUACUGAUUAAAGUAUUGAUAUUGGAUAGGUGAUUUUAAGAAAAAAUAGAUGCCAACGUUUGCAAUGUCAAUUUUAUAUUAUAUAGUUGAUUUUUUUUAAUGUCAAAAUGUUACUGUAAUAAAUUUAACAGAAAAAUUUUAAUGGUGAUGAUAAUUAGAUUUAAAUUUUUAAAUUUGAAAAAUAAAAAAAAUAAAAUCCUAAAAUAAAAACAGAAAUUAUAUUUCAAAUAUAAAGUUUUGAAACAUAUUUUGACAUUCAAAUAUUUGUUUUUAAAAUUGGCCCAAAAUACAUUAGAAACCAUUUUAUUUAAAAUUAAUUUGGAUGCUUAUAAAAAUAAAAAUACUUUAAAUAGAAUAAUAAAAAUUAAAAAAUUAUAUAUAAUAUUUAAUGUAUUGAUAAUAUAUAAGUCUCAUACACCAUUAAUGAAUAAUAACAUGAUACAUUAUCAUUAAAUUAAAUAAAAAAUAUAACCAACUUAUAAAUAAAUAUUAAUAAUUUUAUUUAAAUAUAAUCAAAUAUUAUAAAUAAAUAUAAAUAAUUCUAAAAUUUAAAAUCUUUUAAGUUUAAAGGUUUAGAUUCUUAAAUCUCGAGCAUAAGAUUUAAAAUUUUAAAUAUAAAAAAUAAAAUUUUAAUAUUGACUUAUAAUUAAUUAUUAUUUAAUUAUGUUUAAAUAAAAAUAUUAAUAUUUAUUUAUAUAUCAUCCACUAUUUUUUAAUUUUAUUUAAUAAUUAAAUCUCGCAUUAUUAUUUAUGAAAUAUUCUCCCUUUUAUUUAUCAAUUCAAUUAAAUGAAACCAAUUUGAGUUAAGAAGAGUAUAGGUAAGCAAAAGGCAGCCUCCGACCAAGAAGGAAGCAGCAAGCAAGGGCAGAGUUUGGGCUCAAUUCAUUGCAAAAUAAAAAAAAUGGAAGAAGCAGAUGAGAUGGUUACGCCAGGAGAGGUAUUAGGAAAAGCCACUGAUCUGAAAGCAGGGAAAGGAGCGUAUGCCGCCUCUCACAACAACACCAUCUACGCUUCCCUUACCGGCUUCCGCCGCAUCCAGGCCCCUCCUCCCGCUUCCAAUGACAAGGUUUUGGGUCUUUUUUUAUUUUUCUUGUUAUUUUUAUGUUCAUCCAUUAAUAAAAAUUCUGGGUUUUAGAUUUAUUAGAGGGUUUUAGCUUAAAUAAAUAUGACCCAUUAUUGUUUUUCCUCGUCUGGUCAUAUGUUGUUUCUCAAAGUAAUUUGUGGGGUUUUAGUUUAGACUACUUUGAACAAUUUUUGCCCACUUUUAAUUACGAUAUUCUUACAAAUAAUGUCGAAGGUUUUAGCUUUAUUAUUUAGGUUUGAUGAAUUAUUCUCUCUUCCCCCCGCCCCCAACCCCACAUUUGGAUGGAAUAUAUUCUUAUAAGUUUAGGUAGGUAUAAUUCAUACUUUUAGACUUUUAAUUGAAUCAGUGCUUUGAGAAUCAAAAUUAAUGUUAUAGAAUGUGUUACUAUUCUGGACAUUUGUACUGAUAAUAAUUUUAUCGUACUCAUUUACAGAGACCAACUGUGGAAGUAACUGGUCACAAAGCCCAUGGUCCUGUUCCAGAACCUGGUUCGGUUGUCAUUGCCCGAGUAAGUUCUAGAUUCAUGUUGUCAAAGAAGCAUUUUGACAUAAAAUCACACUUAAGUUUUUGGUUGAAUGUAUGAUGUUGAUUGCUUGUGCUUCUUUAUAUGUUGCAAGCAUUUAUUUACUUUGUGAUAUCAAAAUGUUUUUUUUAUUUGAAUAAUAGGUUACAAAGGUGAUGGCUAGGACAGCAUCAGCUGAUAUUAUGUGUGUUGGUCCGAAAUCUGUGAGAGAAAAAUUCACUGGUAUAAUUAGGUACAUGAUCUUCUUUUCUCUUUUAUUAGGACUAAGCUCGGAGUUCUCUUCUUUGAAAAUAAUGUAAUUGUUUAACAUUCAGAUAUCGAUUUCAGUCACAAUUACCCGGGAACCGGUUUGCCGAUAAUGAUUGUUAAAUGUUAAAUAUAUCCUUGUUGAACUUGUUACCUGCAAACUUUAUAUAUACCUUCUCCCCUCUUGUUGAAUUUGUUACCUGCAAACUUUAUAUAUACCUUCUCCCCUCUUGUUCUAACAUGAAAGAACUGUUUUCUUUCCUUUAGAAUCACAUGGUUUACUUUGGUUCUAUGAUCCAAAGGCUGUAUACCCAUUUGUUUUUGGGAAAUUCGUUUUCUUUCCUUUAGAAUCACAUGGUUUACUUUGGUUCUAUGAUCCAAAGGCUGUAUACCCAUUUGUUUUUGGGAAAUUCGUUUUUCCUUGUAGCCCAUGAUUCAUUUAAUAAAAAUUAUGUUAGGCAGCUAACGGUUCCAUGCAACCAGGUAUUCAAACCUUAAAUUGAUUGAUGAAAUUCUCCUUGUUUAGCAUAUCCUCGCCGCAUCUGUCUUUUUCUCGAUAUGGAUAUAUUGUCCCAUUGAUAGUGUGUACUGUCUAUUAUAAGUUUAAAAAAUGCCAUUUUCCCAUCACUUUUGAGUUGUAUAGAGUCCAUGAGAUAUUCUAAUGUUUGAUAAAUUUAUAUACUUCUGGCUAGAUGUUGCAAAAGGUAUGUAUUCAUUGAAAGACUGUUUAUUUUAACAGGCAACAGGAUGUUAGAGCUACUGAAAUUGACAAAGUGGAUAUGCAUUUGUCAUUUCGUCCAUUCUAAUGUUUGAUAAAUUUAUGUACUUCUGGCUAGAUGUUGCAAAAGGUAUGUAUUCAUUGAAAGACUGUUUAUUUUAACAGGCAACAGGAUGUUAGAGCUACUGAAAUUGACAAAGUGGAUAUGCAUUUGUCAUUUCGUCCUGGCGAUAUUGUCAGAGCAGUAGUGGUAUCCUUCAUGUUAUAGGAUGUCUUAUUCAUGAAUCGUAACAUUUCAUCCAGUCAGUUGUUAUUUUAGUGAAAUGUAUUGCAAUGUAUUUCGUUUUGUUUAUGCAAAUGGUUUUCCUUAACAUUGCUCCUUUAUUAAGCUGUCUCUUGGAGAUGCACGGGCUUAUUACCUAUCCACGGCUAAGAACGAAUUGGGCGUCGUGUCUGCUGAAAGCUCAGCUGGUAAGAUUGCUCUUCCUUUUCUUUUCUUUUUAACUUUGGCCCGAACCGUAGAUGUUUCUUAUUAGUCCUAUUGGCUUCCUACUGUAUGCAUCCACUAUUGUGUUCAAUGACUACUCGACUUCUGUUUCCAUUGUAUACUAUAGGUGCAACAAUGGUUCCGAUAAGUUGGACUGAGAUGCAGUGCCCAUUGACUGGCCAAAUCGAGCUAAGGAAGGUGGCGAAGGUCGUUAACUAACCCAACUGAUGUCAAGCUAAGCUAGUAGCAGCCUCAAAUGUACUCAAUUUCAAGUUUUGGCUAUUUGUGAAACAUGGUUUUAGGCAAUUUUGUAUCACAAAGCCCUUCCCUCCCUUAUAUGUACCUAUAUUUUUAGGUUUUAACUUUCUUGUUCCGUUUUGUUGAACUAUAUAUUGCUGGAGAAUUUGAAACAUGUUUUCUUUGUGUUUGACUUAUUGAAUGAUAUUCCUUUUAUUUUUCAGAAAGGAAAAUUCCUUUGGUUUUUACUUGUAAUAUGGUAUGGCUACAUAAAUUUCAUGUUGAACCAAAAAGAAAAUUUUCAUGGUGUGCAUAAUGUUAGUAUCCGAAAAUAGGAGUGAGUAAAACUCGAUUCAACUAAAAAAAAUAGAAAAAAAAUUAAAUUUCUAGUUAAACGAAUCGAGUUAUUCGAGUCAAUUCGAAUUCUUUUUCGAAUUUUGAGAUCGAAUUGAGUUUAGUUUUCAAAUUCGAAUAACUCGAAUAAACUAAAUAUCAAACUAUAAUAAUUUAUAUUAUUACCCCAAACUCUUAAAGCUCUUCACUUUCCUCUAAAAAUUUGUACUUCUUCACACUUUUGCUCUCCUCCCAUCCUAUCCCCUUCUACCCUAAACCCAUCCCCCCAUUUUUUUUUAAAUAUUUCCCUUCCAAAAUUUUAGUCCUUCAACCUCUAAAAUUUUUUUAUUUUUCCCCUAAACUUUUAUUUCUCACCUUUUACCCCUAAAUAAAAAAUUAAAAUCAUCAAGAAAAAAAAGUCCUAAACCUAAAUAAUAAUAAUUUUAUUUAUAUUUACUAUUUAUAUUGUUAAAUUAAAUUUCACAUUUUGUAUUAUUUAUAUUAUUGAAUUGUUUUAUCAUAUUGAAUCUUUAUAAUUUUUUUCUAAAAUUGAAUUAUUAGUGAUACCAUAAAAUAUUUGUGUUAAAAUUUUAUAUUGGUAUCAAUUUUAUAUUUUAUCUUUAAGAUAAUUUUAUUAAAAAAUCCUAUUUUUUACAAUUAAUAUAUUUUUAAAUUUCAAAAUACAUAGUGACAAAAAUAAUUAAAUAAUUAAAGCAAUUAAGCAAGUAAAGAAGUAUAAAGAAGUAUUUUCUAAUAUAUUUUUUAAUUUGAUUAUGGUGGACAAAUUUAAUUACAGUGGGUGACAGUGAUUACAAGCACUCAAAAUAUUUUUUUUAAUUUAACUCGAACAAAUAUAUUCUAUUUAUUUCAAUUCGAAUUUUAUUUCACUCGACUCGAUUUAAGAAAAUUUCAAAUUGAGUUAGGAUGAUAAAAUAUGAUUCGUCAACUCGAUUAACUCAAAAUAUUUUUAUUCGAUUCAAUCAAAUGCUCACCUGUAUUCAAGAAUGGAUCGUAAAACGGAAAUGAAAUAGUAGUAAAGGAGAUAAAAAUAGAUCUUAAGUAUAAAAAAGAUUUAUUUCAUAUACAAAUGAGUUAAAAGAUUAUCCAAAAGAUGAAAAAAAUCAAAUGUGGGACUGCAAUCAUAAUAAAACCCCAACCCAUAUCGAUAAGAAAACUAAUUUAUUUUUAAAAGAAAGGUAUAAAAAUUAAGUGGAAGAAGCUAACUUCCAAAACGAUCGAAAAAUCCCAACAGCUUCUGGCUUUGAACAACUCAAAAACUUUGAAACAUGUCUUCUUGUUCAUCAUCUUCUUUUUCUUUGCUUAAACCUCUAACCUUUCCUUCAACUCCAUGCCCCUCUCCUGCCCUUCUAUUUCACAACAAUCCCAUCUACAUCCCCUUCAAAACCACUGCCAACCACUCCAAAACUCUCCACCUCUCAAAGCGUCUAACCAUUCCAUUUGCUCUCACUGAAUCCGACUCUCCCAAGUCUCUUCAACCCGACCUUCAAACCCUUCUCCAACAACUUGCUGUAUGUGCUAAAUUCAUUGCCUUUUUUUUUAUCGAAUUUUGUUCUUUGCAUUUGUUUUCGUAAUGCCAUUUUGGAUGGUUACAGGAUAGCUUUGAUCUUCCAUCGGAUUACUUUUCCCAGUUGCCGAACGAUCUUCGUUUAGACGUAAGAUGAAUUUUGAUGACCCUUUUGGAUAUAAUUAACAAUGUUUCUUUUUGGUGGGGGGUUAUGGGUUUUUUAAAGCAGGUAAAAAAAUUGAUGGUGUUUGUGGGUGUUGUAAAUGUGUGUUUGUGGGUGUUGUAAAUGUGUGUUUUAGUUGAAUGAUGCUGCUUUUGAUCUUUCAAAUGGACCUGUGAUUGAUGAGGUUAGUUAUCUUUACUCUUUGUUUUGGUUGCUUAAUUUCUUCAAUUAAAAUUUCAGUCUUCAAAAUUCUUUUGAGAUUAUUUGAAAAAGGAUGAAUUGCAGGAUUAUAUAGAAAGAUUAAACCAUAUAUGCUUUGCUAGAAAGGAUUCUGGAAUAUGGUUUUGAGAAAUGGUGUUGUUUCCUUAUUGAGAGUCUCAUUGUUAAUGACUCCAAUUGUGUAUCAUAUACAUAGGAUGCAAACAAUGGCUUCUUAUCUAGUUAUCUUCUUGUUAAUGAUCUUGUCCCACGUCGAUUAAUUCUUAGAUUUCCCAAGGUCAUGUAUUCGAGUUCUGUGUGUUAUGUUCUUCCUGUCUGAAUUCAUGUGAGGUUGUUAGCGUAUAGGCCAUCAUCGCUCUUGUUAAUUUACACGAGAGAAAUGUUAUAUCACAUCUAUUAUGUCCUGGGUUGCCUGUGAUCUUGUAUUCAGACUGUGCCUAUGUGAUCUUGUAUUCAGACUGUGCCUAUCUACCUUUUUUGCCAAUUGGUUUUAAAUUGUAGACUAAAACACGGUUUUAGGUUGAAUGCUUAACACUGAUGUGUCAUUUCUAGUUCAUGACAUCCCUCAUUGGUAGAUAUCCACCAUUACUAAGUCUAAGUUCACAUAAUUUGAUGCCUGAACCAAUUUGGGGAACAAUCCUUAUUCUCUAUCUUGCUUUCAGGAAUUGUACAAAAUGUUCAAUCAACGAUAGGAAUUUUUUUUAGUGGCUUGUACAAGUUUCGAUAUCGACUAUACAGUGUUGUUGAUAACCUUUUUGUUACGAACCAGAAUAAAACCGGUCAUAAGGAACUUAUCUUUUUGAAUGAUCUUUUUCAGUGUGGUAUGGAGUUGGGAAAAACAUUAUUAAAUCUCUCUAGAGCUUGGGAGUCAGCUGAUACAUCAACUUCGUAUGCAUUAGCAAGCAAGGUCCCGUUGCUUGCCAACUCUUUGACUGACAGCGCAAAAUCAGGUAAGAAAAAGGCAUCUGCAAAUGACAUCAAAAUAUCAAUCUUAGAUAAAUUUAUUUCUGAAAUCUUGUUUGUUUCCAACUAUUUGCUGCUUUUAGCAUUUGGAAGGCGAUUGGUAGCUGCUGGAAGAAGGUUCCAGGCUAUGGGACAGUAUGGUCAAGGCGAACUUCAAAAGGUAUUUCGAGUAACCCGGAAAUAGAUACCUUUUGUUGUAUCGUUGUCAAUUUUAUGAGCCUAUAUUAUUCCAAUUCUUCAUUUUCCUUGAAAACUUCCAUUUCCAACGAAUGUAGAUUUGGAGGUAUGAUCCUCUAAAUGUAAGGAAAGCUUCGAAAAAUUCCAUAUUACCUGUAUCUGGUACCGAGUCUAUGGAACAUAGUCAUGCACAUUCUAACUUAUUUUCAUACAGAUUGAAGAGAUACUGAACUAUUUAUUGUAGCUCAUGAUCAAGAAACAAGGAAAUUGCACAGAGGACCUCAACCUCAACUCAGAUCACGAGUCCCAUGUCAAAAAGUUUUCUUGAGAUUUUUAACCCCAACCCUAGAAAACUCUUAUAUUGUCUUAAAAUUUGAAUAAGAUUCACAUUGAACCAUUGUAGAUAGCAAAAGCAAUGAAUGCAGCUGGAAAACUUCUGUCUGCAAGUUCAAUGUCUGCAACAACUGAAGAACAACCAAAAACGGAAACUAGAAUGUUUAAGGUAGAUGGAAUUUCUCCACUUGUUCUAGAACAUAUAUUCAGUUGAAUGCACCUAAAGUAAUUAUUGAGUAGAAGUUGUUUUCCACUUGCAGUUUGGAGAACUUCAGGUUGAGGUAACAUCGGAGAAAGCUAACAUUGGAGCUGCAAUAGGUUUCGUUUUCGGGUAAACAUCUCAUUCAUGCUGUAAUUUCUAUUAAAUAUAUCCUAAAACAAUGUUAAAUAACAGCUCUUACAAAUUGAAAAUUCCAGGAUUCUUUCAUGGCAAAUAGCUCAGGGCAUCCAAAGCAUUCCGGAGAGUUCAUUGGAAUAUGCAAAUGACAAUGCUCUGCUUCUAGCUAAGGUGCCUGAAAACUCACUCGUAACAGUUAAACUGUUGCUAUUGAUACUAAAACUUGAAACUCUAUGAUGCAGUCAUUAAGAGGAGCACUACUUGCAGUUUUCUAUUCAUCCACAAUCUUGUCCGUUUUCACCACCAUUGGACUUCUCUUACUUGGAAGACAACUAAAGUCCGAGGGAAAGUAACCUUCUUCAAGCUUUCUUGCACCAAUUUUACUUGUGAGUUGGCUAGACUUGACAAUGAGCUUCCACCAGGAAUAAUGGCAUCAAGGAUCAGGAAGGCUGCUAUUCGGCCUGUCCUUCAAAAUUACCAGAUUCCAACUUGUUGCUGAUUUCUGGUUAGUCAUCUGGGUUAUACAUUUCCACGUCAACAAAAGAGAUUUUGGCAUAUAAGCUGCCAAUGUUUCUCAAAGUUCGAUUUUAACUUGUAGAAUAACUCUCUAUUAGCCUACUUUAUUUGGAUAUUAUUUGUAAGGGUCUUUGGUUUAAUAUUGGGACUUGAGUGCAGAUGUUACCAUCUAAAGUAGAUGCAAAUCGAAAUAGUAACAAGCAGAUAAUGAAUUGAGAUAUUAGAUAAAUUGAGUUCAAAAAUUAGGAUCUUUCAAACAUUAGUAAUAUCCACCCGACUAUCAUCCCCAAGAAAGAAGAGAUUAUAAUAAGAGCAAGAUGGCAACUAAUACAUCUAAGGUAAACAAACCAUUUAAAUUAACCUUAGUCCUAUCUAUCUAAAUCAUUGUACAAUGAUCUUCCCACUUCACUGUUGCUAAAACUAUCAAUGCAUCCACCCUUUGUCUAGAAAUCUUUACAAGUUAUGUGGGCCACAGGGGGUGCUAAACAAUCAUAUCUAGUGACAAAAUUGAAAGUUACAACAGUGCCAUUCACCACCGGCUGUGAUAUCGAUGGCUACUAUACCGAGAUGAAUAAUCCAGGUAGCUGUUGUCCCAUCUUUCAUCGGUCUCAUAUUCAAAUCCAUGAGCUCUUGGAGAAUAUCUUGAACCGUAGGAGCCAUGACUACCAAAAUCUUCAUAUACCAAGGGGCUCCUUCUACCCCUCUCAUAAUACGACCUUCCCGAGGUGGGGCUUCGUGGCCUUGGAAUAGGAUCUCUUGGACUGUUAAAACCGUAUGGUGAAUCAUAAUUACCAUACCUUGGGGGAUAGGAUGAGCUAACUCUGGAGUCAACUCCGGGAGCGCCUUCAUCUUCAUAAUCACUAAAAUACCUUCGUUCCAGCCCCCUGCUGCCAGAUUCAGAAGAAUGGUUCACUCUAUGGUGCGACUGUGACCUACUCUUGAAUGAUUCAGAACUUCGACUAGGAGCCCAAAGUUUUUCAUCUGCCUCAACAGGGAUUGGUGCAUUUAUGCCUGGAAAUUCAACUGUCAUUUUCAUCCGUGGUUCAGGCUGCUGCACCAUCUCAGCAAUUUCUCCAUCUUCCUGUCCUUCAUCGACUUCGGCAUCAGCAUAUAUUGUAAUUCCAGAUGGCUCAUCCUCGUCAGGGGCUGAAAAUUUUAGAGAUGGUCAAUUUAAAGUAGCAUGAGAAAAUAAUAAGUCAAUGUUUAAGCUGCUAACGCAUAAUUUAAAUUGGCAUACAAUGGUUCAAUCUAGAUACGGUGGUUAGAGAUCAGAAGAUGCGAAUUUAAGAGCAAACUAUAAGGGGAAGCCAUUUUUAUUUGUGGCCUGGAAUUCAAUAAAAUUUGUAGACUUCGCGUCUUUUCCUCUACCAAACACUUUGCUUCCAUAUUUUAUUUUCUUGAUGCUUAAGAUGUGGGGCCCUUAGGACAUUGUCCUAAUUAUUUGCAGCAACUAGUAAAUGUUUAUUGGUCAACCCCUCAUCUUUAUCUCUAAACCAUGACACAUUAUGUAUCUCAAACUAUUUAUCACACAAGUCAACUGAAACAGUUGGGGCAAAUGGCAUGGCCCUUAAGAGAAAGCAGACUGCAAUUUCUUCCAAUCGUGAUUAUUUACCAAUAACGUUUCAAGGCAACAACUUCAAAUAUGGUUGAAAGUCUAUAGAUCAGAUGUGUUUAGUUACCUAGAUAUCCCGGUGGGUACCCAAUUUCUCGCAUUCUAUUAAGCCACGGUGGAGGGUCGAACUCCUGUGGAAGCAAAUGAAUAAGGAAUUUUAAUUCUCAAGGGAAAAGGCAGUCCCAAUUCCAUCAUUAUCUAUGGAUGAAUAUAUUAACAAAAAAGAGAAACAACUUAAACAGUUAUUACUAUCGAAUUAAACAUAAAGGCAUAACUAGAGAUAUGGCAAUAUUUCAUGUUUAGCCAGAAAGUUUUUGCUUUUCCAUCAAAGGAGAGAAUGUUUUUUGUUAGCUGUGUAGAAAUAAGCCAAUAGUCCAUGCCCAUUAUGCGCAACAAGAGAGAAUGUGUUUGUUAGUGAUGUAGAUUAAGAACAAAAGGAAAAGGCAGAAUAUGUUCAUUAGCUAAUACUUGGCACAAGUUAAUGGAGUGAACAUGCUUGGUAUUAAUGCUAAUCAUACAAUUGAGAAAAUAAAACGAAAGCAAGAGAAAAAACUUUUGGGACUUCAGCACUGGGCUCAAAAUCAAGUUGAUUUCCAAUAUAUUUGGGUCUAUCAUUAGGUACCACAAAAAGGGGGCAGGGGGAGUUGUCAUGGAAUGGAAGGAGAGUAUUACCCCAAGGCCUAAUAGUUGUCGUGUUUCAGCACCAAGAACACCAGGCUUUAGAUCAUCAUACUUUCCACCUUGAGAGUUCUGAUAAUAGCGAGUUGCAUUGCGAGAAGCAGCACUCUGAUUACGUUUGGACUUUUGGUGUUGCUUUCGAGCAUUGUUGACAGCAACAUUGUCACGAGGCUUUGGGCAUUGCUUCAGGGAAUGACUAUAAGAACCACAGUUGAAACAACGGGAAGCCUCGUCUUUUAUCUCCAGGCCUCUACAAGUUGCAACAUUAACAGGUAAGAGAACAUUGAACAUUUAAGGUGGAAGGGCAAACAUAGAAGUAGGAGAGCCACGCAGGCCACAAGCUGCACCAUGCUUAUAGUAACAUCAACCAAACUAACAGACUACUUUUUUUGGAAAAUUUAAUAUAAUUUAUUGGCAAGAAAAAGGUUUCCUUGCUACGAUUUCUAUUUUGUAUUUAAUAAUUACAACUGGUGAUCAGUAUAUUAACUGAUUAAACUGUCAACAUACCACUGCUAUAUUUAUUUGUGCAAUGGAGAUUGCUGCAUUUAGAUUGCCAUAACUGAACAAAACAAAAUUUACUAACAAAAACAAGAGGAACUUGCUAAAGCAGUUAAAGUUGACUCUGAUUUCCAAAACCCACAUCCAAUGUAUCAAUCUGACCAACCAAACAUUCACAUACUUUGGGAUAAAAAAUACAGCUGCUAAAUGAGUCAGCAUUGCACAUGCAAUAAAGCAACAAUAAGAAUGAGCAAGAGCAUAGAUAAGUCGAAACAAUGAAAUAAAUGGCAACUUGCAUGCAAUUUUUUUGGAAGAGUUUGUAUGCAUGCAUCUAUUCUAAGCACACAAUUGUUUUGGAUGCUAUUGUGAACUAUAAAAGAGCAGUCAUGAAAGUGCAAGCGCAUAAAAUAGGCCCUUGAAUCUUAUAACAAACUAGCAUGUCAUUAUCCAUUUAUAUGGCGAACAAUAUUACAAAAAACACAAAUGAUACUUACCCUUCCAAAUUACUUGAAGCAUCUGCUGAAGUCAAACCCAUUGCAAACCCACGAUCAUAAAGUGGCACAAUAUUACCAUCCAGAGGGAUGAACUCCAUAUCAUGCAGAUUCCUUCUUUGAUCGUCAAUCCAGAAUGACUACAAAUCCAAUAAAAAACAAAACUAAUAUAUUGAGAGAAUACAAUAAACUCUAGCGCAAGAAUCAGCCCUUUUAAAACAGAAAUUGCAGAUCUCAAGAAACUUUAAUGUGCAUAAAAUUUAUAAUUAUUAGGAUUGAAAUGUCAGAUCCCUUUUUCAAGAGAAAGGAAUUUGCUCAUGAUUUAGAAUUCAGAUAAUGAAGAAUUAAUUACACAAUAACAGAUUGCCAAUGACAUUAAAGAAAGGGAAGGAUAAAAGGUACAAAACUGUACCUCUAAUAACAACCAUUCCAAUAACAAAAAUCAAAAUACAUACAUCAGGCACAGAACAUGGAAGUCUAGGGGAUUAAAGACAAGCUUACCACGGCAGAGAGCUUAUCUGCACCAACACGUAGAGCAGGAAAGUAGGUCUUUUCUCCUGAUUCUGUAAGUUCAUUUUCCUGACCAGAUUGGAUUACAUUCAGUUUCAUUUAAUGUGAAGGAUAAAAAUACUGCACUAUGGAACAAUAUAAGGUGCAGAUGCAUACACAUGCUUAUGCACCCACAUGCUCAGACAUUAAUCCAUCUGCAUAUGCAUAUUCACUUAAAUGCAUACCUAUUGACACACCAUCCUUCCAUCAAAACAGACAGUCAGACAAAUAUAAAUGCACCCAUCCAUCUAUCACCACAGAUUUCAGUAGGAGACACCGAUUGAGAUAUAACAUCUCUCUGAAAGUUACAGUUAAUGAUUAAAUUCAAAAUUCAAACAAAUGAACGCACUUAGAAGUACUAGAUGGUCCAAACGAACACCACAAGUUCAUAAAAUACCUAAUUCAAUCUAAAAUGCAGGUACUGUAAAACAAUAAUUGCCAUUAUAUUCUCAAAAAAGGAAGAAUAUGAUACCCUCAAGGAAAAAAACUAAAACAUACAAUCUGGAGAUAGGGAAUUAUGAAUGAUAAAUCCAACCUAUAUCCUCAGUUCUAAAUUAGACAAAGGAUUUAAAUAUGAUGAAUGGAGAUAGAAAAUUAAAAACCAAGAAUUUAACCAGACAUACUUGCAAUGAUGAACCAUGUUCAGCUUGCCAUUCUGACCAUUUCUGCAAAAGCUCCUCAAGCUUCUGUUUACUAGCUCUGGAAAAAAGUAAGGGGGAGAUAACAAUAAGGAAUAUAACCUAAAAGAAUGUAAAAUAUAACCCAAACACACUCUAUCUUAAUUAAUCAUAUUUCUGUCUAUUAAACAGAACUUCAAGAAAAGGAAUAAAAACAUGAAACUUUUCAUUCUUUGAUUUUCAGAAUUAAUCUCCGGCCCUAACCUUGUUAAGAAAUUAUACACAAUACGAAUAGAAGGUUGCUGGUCAUCAAAUGUCAUCCGAGGUCUCUUAACAACAGCUGACACAUUGAAUUAUGGAAAACAAAAAUCAUCAUGCCAUAGGCUCUACGGAAAUAUUUACUAACAUUAUAUGGAAUUGAGCUUAUGAAACAUACAAAUACAGAAGCAAAGCUCUUAUAUGAGAGUCAGCUAAUACACAAGAAAGAAAGCAACAAUAACAACUGAGAAGCAGGAUACAAAUACCAUCCAUUGUGUGGUUCUGGAUGGGACUUCCAUUUUCGAGAUCAAGACCCCGCUUUUUGGUAGACAUUGAAGAGCCAUCCAAUUUCUCUUCAACCUUAAAUGAUUCAGAAUGAGCUCCAGAGCUAACCUCAUCCAGUUUCUUUUCAACUCUAAGAACUUCAGUUAUUUCAUCACUUAUUUCCAUGUCAGAUGAAUCGCCAGCAAGAGUGUUGUCUACCUUUGCUUCCACAAUUAAAUUGUUCUGAGGAUUUCUAAUAUCUCCUUCAUUCAGCUGCAGGAUCUCAGUUUUCACUUCACCAUCUUUAGCCUCUGCAUUAUUAGGUUGAGAAUCUACUUGAUGAAGUCCAUCAUCCACAUCCCGAAGUUCACCACUUUCACUUCCAAACAUAGAAUUACUAGACGCAGGAAGGGUGAUGAAAUCCUGACCUCCCACACUUGUAUUACUGCAUAACAUGAGCCCUUAUUAGCAAAUUACAAUGUAAUCAACACAUAACCAGCUACUAUCAUGAAUCAAAAGACGAAUUAUUUUCAGUGCUUUGGACCCAUAUAUGUAUUUAGAGUUUUGUAUUUGGAAUAGUUUUUAGUAAGGAAGAGUUCAGGUCUUCUAUUAUUUUCUUCUUAAAAUUCAUAAGCAAUCUGUUAUCAUGAAACAUUAUUUUGUCAUCAGUAAAUUCAAAAUCACGAGUGAAAUUCUUUUUCUCUUCAAAAAAGUGGUUGUUCAAUUAUUUACUCCCUUAAAUAAAACAACAAAUAAUGCAAUAAAAUUGGAUAUAAAUGAAAAAGACAACCUAUAAAGGUUAAAUAAAAUGAAGGAGUCUAGUUUUUGCACUACUAACCUUUCAUUCAUGAUCUACUAAUUUGGACUUGUAGAGGAUUGAAGGAUGCAAGUCACACUGCAAAAACAGAUAUCAAAACACCCAUAAGAACUAAAUCCCAUUCCAAUCCCCAGAAAAUAUAAAACAAGUCACAUCCAAGUUUGAUAUCAUAAACAAGGCAUAGAGCAGCAGAAGAAGCAGAAGAAAAAACAAAUAGGUAACUCAAUCAAGCACUUACAGAGAAAAUAAGUCAACUAGUGAGUCCAUAAAACCAAGAUAAUAUAACCCAAUUUUCCCAAACAUUGAGAAGCAGAUCUCCACAAAUGAAAGUAAUAAAGGUAACCAACCGUAACGAAUAUCAAAUAAUAAAGAGACAACAAGAAGAUCAAUUUAAUACCAAAUAAAGCUGAAAUCAAAUUGUUUAAGUUCCCAGAUCACUUCUCAUCCUUGCAAAAUAUAUCUCUUUCUUUAAUGCACUUCUAAAUUUAACUAAACUAAAAAAAGUUUUAAAAAAAGAAGAAGAAACUUCUUUCAUUAUUUCCUUUACAUGCAAACUAUAAAACAUGUUUUGCUUUUCUUUUCAGAUCUCAAUGGCUCAUUUAUAAGAGAAAAAAAAACGAAAAGGAAAAGGAAAAGAGAAACAAACCAGCAAUUUUAGGAAUGAGCACCUAAAAUUUUAUGGGUCAACCGAAAGUUUUCAAGAAAAUAAAAUUGAGAAAGGAGGAAGUUGAAGAGAAAUUUUUUAAAACCCUAGAAAUUUCAUAAUUAUCGAAAGAAAUUACCAAAGUUGGGUGAUGGAAUUAUAGUAACGAGGCUGUGAUUCGGGAGAAGAUGACAAAGAAAAGGAAGUGCCAGCGGGGUAAGUAGGGAAAUCCGGCGCGGCUGGUUGAGGCUGUGAAGAAGAAAAUAUGUGAAGCAAAUUGAGGUUUUUAUAAAUCCAAAGGCAUAAAAGAAGGAAGAAGAGGAAGCGAUUGGAGGCUAAAGGCCAAGCUCAAAUAUUAGGUAAAAUUACAAAAAUAGUCACGUAUCUUUGUUUAAAUUUAUGUUUUGAAAUUCCUAAAUAUUAUUAUUAUAUUUUUCCCUCUUUUAUAAAUAAAAAUAAAAAAACAUAUUAUACAUUUUUUGAUAAUAUUAUUAAAAUAAUUUAUUUUCUUUUCCAAAUCACUAAUUAUAUUUGAUAAUUAAUUAUUAGAUGUCUCCUAAUUGUCUUUUUAACUUAAUUUAAAAUGUAUAAUUUCAAUCAUUUUGUGAAUGAUAAGGAGUAUAGUGAGAUAAUAAUAUGUGGAGACAUUCGUACUAGAGAUGUGUUUUUUUAUAUAUAUAAUUAAUUAUUAAAGAUGCCUAUCAUUCAAAAUUUUUCAAAGAGUGCUCUAUCAAAGUUGACUGAGGAUGUGUCAUAGAUUUCAAACUUUUGAGCUGUAUUAAAUGGUUUCUAUUUUGGAAGGAUGAGUAGUGAGGAGGAUUUCCCUUCUCCAACAAAAAGAUUGUGAAUUUAUCUCAACAAAAGUCCCUUCUUUAGUUUGGAUCGCAUUCAAAUACGAGUCCAAAGAAUGUUAGGUUAUAUCUAUAGAUUUAUUUUUUAUAUUUUUGAGUCUAAGACAAAACAAUAAAUUGAGACUCUUUUAAAAAAAUUAUAAAAUACAAUACAAUAAAAUAAAAAAAUAUACUAGUAAUUUCAUUAAAAUAAUACAUUUUAUUACAUUAAGCGAAUAAGAUAUUUUCUAACAUAAUUUAAAAAAAAAAACAUUUUUCAUUCAAUCACAUAAAGUCAUAAAGAAAAAGUAUGCAGUAGUAUAUUACGGGGAGAAGCUGAAUAUAAAGUUGACUUAAAUGACUUUAUUAGUUAAAACCCAAAGAUAUCGUCAAAUUAAGAAUAAAAAGAUUACAAGAAAGAAGAGGAAGGAGGUAGAAUUAUAUGUACAACAAUAGUAGAUUCAGCAGACCACGAAUGGGAGUCACCAUGGACAGCAAGCAGGCGCAGCGGUUAGUUGAAUACCUGCAGCCCGCACAACCGCGCAGGAUGACAGAAGAGAGAAGGAUUAUCGCACCAAAGCCGACAACAACCAGCGAAAAAAAUAUUUUAGAAUCUCAAAGUCUCAUCUCUCAUAUAUAAAGUAAAACUAAUAACUUCAAUUGAUUAUGUUAAUGGAUGAUGUAUUACUUAAAUGAAAUUUGACCUUAUUUAACUUGUAAAAAAUUUCUUCUAUUGUCAUGGUUAUAGGAAAAUAGAGAAGGUUGAAUUCUAGUAACCAUUGAAUUUUUUGGGAAAAGUUGAAAUUCUUCAUUAAUUUUAACGUUAGGAGUUGGAAUUUGGGAACUAAAGGAGGUUUGGAGAAGUCAAGGAGUUGGACAUGAAGGCGAAGAAUUUAAGGCUCCUUUUAAUUUAUUUUCUUUUUUUUUCUUGUCUUCAAUGAAGCGUUGAUCAAAAAACUUAAAAAGUUAAAAGAUUUUUUUCCUACAUUAAAAGCUGAAAAAAAUACUCUCAAACUACUCCCAAAGUCAGGCCUAUAUAUUUGAUAAUGAUCAAAAGCAUAGUUUGGACUAUGCUUGACCUUUUACAAUAGCCGAUGAGGAAACCAAGGGCAAGUAAGAGUCUUCACCCUAACUUCAAGCUUCUAACUUCUAACUUCGUCCCUGACGAUGGCAUUAAGGGCCGAGUCAUAUUUUGCAGGGAAGGAAGGCCAUUAGUUUUUAAACGAGCAGAAGUGAAUAAUCUAUGAUACUGAGGUUAGAACUUUGUUCGUCAUACUUUGGAGUUACAAGAUAUAUUGCACCAUGCUUUCUAUUUACUUUUUACGCUUAAAUAGUUUUCAUAUUAUGUGUUGAUUAUUUUUAAUUUGUAAGAAAAUAUUUAUUAAGUGAUAUUUAUCACGAUUUUAUGCAAAAGAAUAGAAGUUUUUUUAAGAUAAAACUAGGCUAAUUAUGGAGAUACGGGAGUCAGAUUUUAUCUCUUUUCUUUUAUGAUCAUCCUUUGACUUUGAUUAAGAAAUAUUUCAAGAUAUUAUGGAGGAUUAUUCUAAAAUUUUACUAAAGUAUUAUCAAUUCUCUACAAUCAUGCUACACACCUAUAAAAGAAUAGUUUUCCAUAUACGUUGUACAGGCCCAAAUUUGCCCGGCCCAGACUCAACAAGCCCAAAUCCCUAACCUAAACCAAAACCCAAAAUAACCCAAUAAUUAGAAAACCCUAAAGGCCCAACUGACCCAAAAUUUUAAACUGAACAGAACCCUUGCCCUUGACCAGCAGCCUCCACCUUCCGCUCACCCAUUUGCCUCGAGCAUACCGCCCACGCCUGGCCCCGAGGCCUGACCACCUCUACUCGUCUUUGCGCCAACCCCGUCCUAUUACUUCCGUCUAGACCUGCAAACGAAACAAGAAAAAGUGCAGAGAGACACGCAAAGUAAAGAGAAAAACAGAAGCAACAAAUAGAAAAAGGGUAGCAAAAUAAAUAGGCAUUCGGCUAUGAAAAAAGGGGGGGAUGAUUUUAGGGGGUUUUCGAAUACAAAAAACGUUGUAUUACAGGAGAUCGGGGAAAUCAAGAGUAAAAAUAAGAAAAAGGUUGUUUUUGGAUUCUAUUCUUUUUUCUUUUUUUCUUUUCGAUCCUUUUUUAUUUAUUUAUUUUUGGUUUCAAAUCCAUUUUAAAACAAAAAUAAAAGGAAAAGGAGACUUACCUGAACGACCCUGCGAUGUCGUCGUCGGGAACUUCUCUCCUGGCGUCAAACUCGGGCUUAAAGGGAAGCCAAGGACCUUUCUUUCGGCUUUUGGGUUGAGAAGGUUCGACCUCUAGACGCGUUCCAAAUGAGGGCUAAAAUCCCCUCUUUGCGCGACCACGACCACCGCACGCGGUGGGCCACGAUGGAGGCAUAACGGCGGUGCAAAGGCUAGGGUUCAAAACCCUAGCAGAGAAAAGAGGGGAGAGUUCCAGAAUUUUUUUUUAAAAAGUGGCAGUGGGAAUGAAUUUUAGAAAAAAAAUUGAUUUUUAUAAGGGCACAAAAACGGUGCCGUUUUGCACCCAAUGCCCUAGCGUCGAAACGGCGUCGUUUAGAGCAGAUUCGCGC